RNAcentral lists this ribosomal RNA (253 nucleotides) under uncultured bacterium. RNAcentral's name for it is "partial 16S ribosomal RNA". It matches the Rfam family "Bacterial small subunit ribosomal RNA", at positions 524 to 776 of the family's 1533-position model. The record is from RNAcentral.
UACGUAGGUGGCAAGCGUUGUCCGGAUUUAUUGGGUUUAAAGGGUGCGUAGGCGGUUCCAUAAGUCAGUGGUGAAAUUCGGCAGCUCAACUGUCGAGGUGCCAUUGAUACUGCGGAACUUGAGUACUGAUGAGGUAGGCGGAAUUGACGGUGUAGCGGUGAAAUGCCUAGAUAUCGUCAAGAACACCGAUAGCGAAGGCAGCUUACCAAGGAGUAACUGACGCUCAGGCACGAAAGUGCGGGGAUCAAACAGG